GAGGCGUUAAUAAAAAUAAUUAUAUAACUUUGUCAAAGUUAAAUUAUAGGCUCAAAUCCUUUACACCUCU
RNAcentral lists this transfer RNA (70 nucleotides) under Cyclopes didactylus (silky anteater). RNAcentral's name for it is "tRNA-Asp". It matches the Rfam family "tRNA". Rfam says of the family: Transfer RNA (tRNA) molecules are approximately 80 nucleotides in length. The record is from RNAcentral. Lineage: Eukaryota; Metazoa; Chordata; Mammalia; Pilosa; Cyclopedidae.